RNAcentral lists this ribosomal RNA (430 nucleotides) under uncultured Glomus. RNAcentral's name for it is "SSU rRNA". It matches the Rfam family "Eukaryotic small subunit ribosomal RNA", at positions 569 to 1003 of the family's 1831-position model. The record is from RNAcentral. Lineage: Eukaryota; Fungi; Glomeromycota; Glomeromycetes; Glomerales; Glomeraceae.
AGCAGCCGCGGUAAUUCCAGCUCCAAUAGCGUAUAUUAAAGUUGUUGCAGUUAAAAAGCUCGUAGUUGAAUUUCGGGGUUAGUAGAUUGGUCAUGCCUUUGGUAUGUACUGGUCUUACUGGUUCCUCCUUCCUGAUGAACCGUAAUGCCAUUAAUUUGGUGUUGCGGGGAGACUGGACUGUUACUUUGAAAAAAUUAGAGUGUUUAAAGCAGGCUAACGCUUGAAUACAUUAGCAUGGAAUAAUGAAAUAGGACGUUCGAUCUUAUUUUGUUGGUUUCUAGGAUUGACGUAAUGAUUAAUAGGGAUAGUUGGGGGCAUUAGUAUUCAAUUGUCAGAGGUGAAGUUCUUGGAUUUAUUGAAGACUAACUACUGCGAAAGCAUUUGCCAAGGAUGUUUUCAUUAAUCAAGAACGAAAGUUAGGGGAUCGAAG